Molecule: long non-coding RNA, 661 nt
Organism: Mesocricetus auratus (golden hamster)
Lineage: Eukaryota; Metazoa; Chordata; Mammalia; Rodentia; Cricetidae
Exons: 3
Source: RefSeq, a predicted model, not a curated record
CUGUCACCGACACUAUGCUAAGAGGACAUCAGAAGCCAGAUUCGAUGGCAGCUGCCAGCUCAUAGCCCUUGGGCCGCUCACCUCUCCUCCUCUCCCAGAGCAGAUUUCAAACCUAUUUGUCAUCACCGUGGCUUUGUUCCCAGGUGACCUCAUUAAGUGGAGGAAGGGGACCAUGGUGACCAAAUGACUUCAUAGAAAGGACUAAGCCUGACUCUUUUGCUUGCUGCUCACCAGAUUGUCCUUCCCUGGGUCAGUCAUCAGCCCAUCCUGGGCUCAGCCAUAAAACGGGGACAAGAAUUGGAAUGCUGAUGCAAGAACCCAAGGCUGCGUUGUGUGUACAGCAAGCACAUGACUCAUCACUGAGGCACUUCCCCGGCCACUGACCACACUUCCCUAGGCUUCAUGGACAGACCGUCACCUAAAGACUCUCCAGAGAAACUUCUUUCGCUGGAAGGAGAUCCACCCUGGGGCUGCGUGUGAGGUGGAGGGACACAGAUGGCCCUCACAGAUGAGAAUGUCUCAUGGCUUUCCAGUUCCUGCAGGACCCGAGCUCUCCAUCAACUCUUCUUGAACUCUCCAUGUGAGAUUUCCAGCUGCUCACCAUCAGCACCCUCCAAGAGCUGCUAUCCAGCCAUGUGGAAGGAUAAAACUGUCCCCCAAA